GGGUAACAAGGGUGUGUGGGCAUGCGCAGAUGCUCCCAGGUGCUUAUGCCCUCUCCUAAAGCCCUGCGUGGUGUCUCUCAGCAGGUGGGGGCCGCAGGAUCCAGCCGAAGUACGAUGCUAUCCUUGAGGCUCCACCCUGGCAUGAGGUUGUGAUGCUACGGCAGUCCUUCUCGGAACCCAACCACCAUCCUUAUAAGGAAGUCCAGGCUUAGGCCACUCAAUAAUGUGGAGCCAUGGAAGAAAGACCCUGAGGAUGAGAGACCAUUUCAGGUAUUGUCCAGCCUUGGCCAUGUUCCUGCAUGAAUCCAGUUGCUCAAUGAUAGCCCAGCCGAACCACCCAGGUUGCAGCCCCAUAUCCGGUAAGGGGAUCUGGAGAGGCAUCCAGCCGCCAGC
Molecule: long non-coding RNA, 393 nt
Organism: Heterocephalus glaber (naked mole-rat)
Lineage: Eukaryota; Metazoa; Chordata; Mammalia; Rodentia; Bathyergidae
Source: Ensembl